UACGAAGGGGGCUAGCGUUGCUCGGAAUUACUGGGCGUAAAGCGCACGUAGGCGGGUCGUUAAGUCAGGGGUGAAAUCCCGGAGCUCAACUCCGGAACUGCCUUUGAUACUGGCGAUCUAGAGGUCGAGAGAGGUGAGUGGAAUUCCGAGUGUAGAGGUGAAAUUCGUAGAUAUUCGGAAGAACACCAGUGGCGAAGGCGGCUCACUGGCUCGAUACUGACGCUGAGGUGCGAAAGCGUGGGGAGCAAACAGG
This 253-nucleotide ribosomal RNA is filed under the name uncultured bacterium. RNAcentral's name for it is "partial 16S ribosomal RNA". It matches the Rfam family "Bacterial small subunit ribosomal RNA", at positions 524 to 776 of the family's 1533-position model. The record is from RNAcentral.